AUAUAUAUAAUGGAACGUGUAAUUGUUGGUGGUUUUAUGUGUGCAAUGCGUGACUGUAACAGUAAUUCCGGAGCAGAUUGUCAUCUAAGCUUUUUUCGUUUUCCAUCUGAUUUAGAAAGCAAAAUUGUGGUUACAAGCAUGUGAUAUAAAGGAAAAUGUUCCACAAAAAAGACUGUAUAAUAAUUACAGAGUUUGUUCAAAACAUUUUGCUCCUCAUAUGUUUUUAAAUGAUUUAAAAAAUCGACUUCAACCACAUGCAGUUCCAAGUUCAGUUCUUAAUAUUACCAAUGAUGUAACAACUGAUCAGAUAGACAUUUCAACAGCAGACACUUCAUGUUUUACAACAAAUUUACAAGCAGAUGUAUACAGUGUUAAAGCCAUUU
Long non-coding RNA from Trachymyrmex cornetzi, 383 nucleotides. RefSeq lists it as uncharacterized. The record is from RefSeq and is a predicted model, not a curated record. The transcript has 3 exons. Lineage: Eukaryota; Metazoa; Arthropoda; Insecta; Hymenoptera; Formicidae.